CUCUUGUCUUGUUUGUGGAGAGGGAUGAAUUUGGCCAUCUUGUGUGUUUAUGGAGAAGACCAAAAGCUGCAAAGGCAAACAUUUCCAAUGGUACAAACAGAGAGUUCGCAUGAUGGCCUUUUUCAGUUUUGUCAACUGAACGGCUGCUAGUGAGGGUCAGCGAGUUCUUGUCAUGAUGAGCCCUCGCCAGCCAAAAUGGAAGACCAAAAACACAAAGAAAAUCAAUCACAGCAAGCCAGUCAAACCAGUCCUGUUGGGAAUGAACAUAGUCUUCUUGUGCCCAAACAGAGAAGACAGAGAACUGAAAAUUUGCACAUUUCCAUUGCUCCUAGAAUGAGCAAAUCAGCUGUGCAUCAUCUCUGGAAUUUGGGAAGGAAAUGAACGAAUAUGGAGGAUGAAGCCAGUUGAUGAAGAUAUCAAUUCAGUGGCCACCAAGUGCUGCACUGCUGCCUGAACCCAUCAGAUAUCUGCUGUGAAGACUGCAUUCACGAACAGCUCUACUGCGACAGCUCAGAUGUUACGGCCCAUAAAAGAAACUUACCAACUGAACAACUGCAAGAUAGUGGUAGCCCAUAGUGAUAGCCCAUACCUCCAACAACAUUCAACAGGAAUCAAUGGAAAGUCCAGUGCAACAAUUAUAAAUAAUAUUAUAUAUUGUUUAUUGAUUUACAGCACCCUAAAUGAUUUUGUUCCUCCAGGACAUCUGCACCAGGUGGUUUGUGAAGAAAGCACGGAGGACCAUCAGACUCCAGCCACCCCAACCAUGGACUGCUUUCACCGUUACCAUCAACAGCACCCGCACCAGCAGACUGCGAGACAAGUUCUUUCCACAAGCAAUCAGACUGAACUGAACUCGUACCAUUAACAGCACACACACCCCACCAACCUCUUAUGCACUGCACUCCAUCACUUACACUGACUGGACUCUGACUCACUAUUAUUCCGCACCCUGACAAUCUGUUUGCACUAAUUCAUACUGUACUGCACUGCAAAGGUAUAUGUGUACUGUGAUUAUUGUGUUUUAUUAUUGUUUUAAUUUCGUGCUCUCU
Molecule: long non-coding RNA, 1049 nt
Organism: Onychostoma macrolepis
Lineage: Eukaryota; Metazoa; Chordata; Actinopteri; Cypriniformes; Cyprinidae
Exons: 5
Source: RefSeq, a predicted model, not a curated record